Molecule: ribosomal RNA, 253 nt
Filed under: uncultured bacterium
Lineage: Bacteria
Description: partial 16S ribosomal RNA
Rfam family: Bacterial small subunit ribosomal RNA
Source: RNAcentral
UACGGGGGGGGCAAGCGUUGUUCGGAAUUACUGGGCGUAAAGGGCUCGUAGGCGGCCAACUAAGUCAGACGUGAAAUCCCUCGGCUUAACCGGGGAACUGCGUCUGAUACUGGAUGGCUUGAGUUCGGGAGAGGGAUGCGGAAUUCCAGGUGUAGCGGUGAAAUGCGAAGAUAUCUGGAGGAACACCGGUGGCGAAGGCGGCAUCCUGGACCGAAACUGACGCUGAGGAGCGAAAGCCAGGGGAGCAAACGGG